GCCGAGGUAGCUCAGCUGGUAGAGCAGCUGAUUCGUAAUCAGCAGGUCGUCGGUUCGAUUCCGAUCCUCGGCU
This 73-nucleotide transfer RNA is filed under the name bacterium. RNAcentral describes it as "tRNA-Thr". It matches the Rfam family "tRNA". Rfam says of the family: Transfer RNA (tRNA) molecules are approximately 80 nucleotides in length. The record is from RNAcentral. RNAcentral also lists the same sequence under 1 other name.